Molecule: long non-coding RNA, 262 nt
Organism: Heterocephalus glaber (naked mole-rat)
Lineage: Eukaryota; Metazoa; Chordata; Mammalia; Rodentia; Bathyergidae
Source: Ensembl
CCCAAGGCCCAGAAGAGUCGAUUUCUCCAUUCAUCUUCGACACUCACUGCCAUCCCAUCCUUCUUGCCAAUGAUUGCAUCAAAGAUGUGACCCUGAAUCAGAGCUAUGGGGACUCUGUCCCGGGAGGGAAGCCAGCGUUCAUUUCAGUUUGGCACCAGCAGCUGCACCCAUGCUGCAUCUUUGUGCAGAAGCCAACAGCCAGCCCUCCCCUGGCUCUGCGCCACUGCCGGCCUCUCGCUGCCACCCCAGCUCAAGGAGCCCC